CAUGAGGUUCCACUUUCAGCUUGGGUUUCACUCGCUAAGAAAUAAUCGAACUUCUGAUCCUAUAAACUCAUAGACAAUUUAAAAGGAGAAGCAUGUUACGCAUCGCUGGCUGGGCCAGCAUCUAUUGCCCAUCCCUAAUUGCCCAGAGGAGAGUUGAGAGUCAACCCCUUUGCUGUGGGUCUGGAGUCACACGUCGGCCAGACCAGCGGACAGCUGGAACUGACAACCCGAAGCGGCAGAGACAAACCACUAUAAAUGUCAGAGGAAACAUCACAGAAGCGCUUCACAGGAGGCUCCCAAGCACUGAGGAUGUCACCUAGACAGGGGACGGAACGUCGGCAACACAAAUUCCCAGCUCGGCGAACAGAACCACAACAAUGAGCACCCGAGCUACAAAUCUUCUCCCAAACUUUGAACUCCAAAGUCUCUCUGUGCCUCAGAUUUUCAAAGCCUUUCCCUGUUUAGAAAUUAGUCUAUGUCUCUAUUCUUCCUACCGACAGACUGUCCCACAUUAUAUUCCAUCUAUGGGCAUGCUCCUAGUCUAUCCAAUUUUUUCUGCAGUUUUCCCCUUUCCUCCACAUUACCUGUCCCUCCAUCUAUAUUAAUGGAACAGUUGAGUUUGACAAUUUUUUAGCUUCCAACUGUCACAAAGGGAUUUAACCUCACGUCCUCGGAUUUGUCGUGUGGUAAUAUAGCGAAUGCACUAUGUGUCUUGUCGACGGUGUAGAUAUUUUCUAAUCAACAUGUUCAUGGACAUAAUAUGCCUGUGGAGCAGGUGAGACUUGAACCUGGGUCUCCUGGUUCAGAGAUAGACACUAUUACUCAGCUACAAGAGCCCUUUGACAGGGUGUAGGUUUGGACAAAUGAUCACAACGUCAAUCUGUAUUGAAUGUUAAACAUAUUCCAGCCUCCAAGCAUAUUUAACCUGAUUGAUGUUUCUGAUGAAACACAAGAGAGUUCUUUCCUAAACUAAUCCUGCUGGUCUUACAGGGCGGAUGUUUGAGGUUCACAAUCUCCAAACAACUUUGAAAUCCUGAUGUUACUAUAUAAAAAUACUUUAACCAUUUAAGAAAAUAUACAAUCAAAG
Molecule: long non-coding RNA, 1087 nt
Organism: Hemiscyllium ocellatum (epaulette shark)
Lineage: Eukaryota; Metazoa; Chordata; Chondrichthyes; Orectolobiformes; Hemiscylliidae
Exons: 3
Source: RefSeq, a predicted model, not a curated record